UGGUGGAGCGAUUUGUCUGGUUAAUUCCGUUAACGAACGAGACCCGGACCUGCUAAAUAGUUCGGCGAAGGCGUCAGCCUUCGUACGUGACUUCUUAGAGGGACUAUCGGUGCUUUAGCCGAAGGAAGUUCCGGGUAAUAACA
Molecule: ribosomal RNA, 143 nt
Filed under: uncultured eukaryote
Lineage: Eukaryota
Description: partial 18S ribosomal RNA
Rfam family: Eukaryotic small subunit ribosomal RNA
Source: RNAcentral